This is a long non-coding RNA of Amphiprion ocellaris (clown anemonefish), 2233 nucleotides long. RefSeq lists it as uncharacterized. The transcript has 3 exons. Lineage: Eukaryota; Metazoa; Chordata; Actinopteri; Pomacentridae. The record is from RefSeq and is a predicted model, not a curated record.
GACCCGCAGGACGAGACGAAGGUUAACUGGAAAUAUUAUGACAUAAGCAGACAACAGAACUCUGCACCACAGUUUGAAGUUUGUAUGUAAACAGUGAUGAUAACAACACAAGCAAACAGCACAAAGGGUAAAAAGGAGAGACUGAGACCAACACUUGGCCGACUGAUCAGAGUUGAACGGAGGAAGCAGAACUCUAAAAGGACACUUCUGUUGCACCAGGCAGCAUUGGAAAUAAGCUUCUCACCUGUCAUAGAUUUUUAACAAUCUGUUUGAGAUAACGUGCGUAUCGCCCUCAGUCUAUAGUUAGAAACACCAACUGAGGAGGAGGAGAUCAUCCACACAGACACUGCUGCUGCUGCUGCUGAACAUUUCCAACAACUGAUUACAUAAACACUUGGAUUGGAGGAGGUCCUCGACUUACAUCAGAGUUCUGUUCCUACAAAUCGAUUUGGGGGAAAAAGACACUGGGAGGAUCAAACUGAAGUUGCAACUGUACCCUCAACAACAUCGCCUCUAAUGGCCCAGAAAUAGACACCAGGACUCCAUGCAACACGGCCGCGGAACAACACCUGCCAGGUUCAAACACAUGCUCACCUGUGCCAGGGAGCUGUAGACGGACAGCAGUAGGUCAACCAUGCGCAGGGCAGCAGCCUUGACAGACAGCUGGGAGCUUGAGAAGGUCUCAUGUGUCAUUGUGGCCCUUUAUCCAUGACUUGGCAACUCCUUCAUCCUCAUCGCCAUUCUGUUGGAGCUGAAGACACGAACAAGAGCGACAUUAAAGGGUUUAACUUUGGAGGCUCUGGUGGAGACACCGUGGUUACAUAAAGCCUGUGACAUACAGCACGGUGCAAGCCGCAAGCCGACUGAAUAAAGCAAGUCUCGUUAACCAUAUGUAUUAGGGCUGGCCCGAAUAGCAAUUUCUGGGCUCUGGAUAUGUGGACCCAAUUAAUGACGAAUAUCCGAAUAUUCGGCUCUUCCGGAGGACGGGGGUGAAAUGACAUUCCAUCCAUCCAUUAUCUAUACACCGCUUAAUCCUCAUUAGGGUCAUGGGGGGCUGGAGUCUAUCCCAGCUGACUGAGGGUGAAGGCAGGGGACACCUGGACAGGUCGCCAGUCCAUUGCAGGGCUGUAUAUACAGACAAACAAUCACAUUCACACCUACAGACAAUUUAGAAUAAUCAAUUAACCUCAGCAUAUUUUUGGACUGUGGGAGGAAGUCGGAGUACCCGGAGAAAACCCACGCAUGCACAGGGAGAACAUGCAAACUCCAUGCAGAAAGAUCCCAGGAAGGCCGGGACGCGAACCAGGGAUCUUCUUGCUCUAAGGUGGCAGUGCUAACCACCACACCACUGUGCAGCCCGGUGUAGUGACCUGUAUUUAUAUUAUUGUUUUCUUUAUUUAUUUACACGGUAUAGGGCAUUUAAACAAACUCAAAUACAAAUUAAAUACUAAUUUGGAAAAUGACACAUUUACCUAAUGAAUUAUAUGAACAACAUAUAUAUUACAGUUUUUCUCAGUCGCUUUGGUACAUCUCUCAGAUCAGAAUUGAAAUUCUCUACUACUUGUUCAAUGUUCACAUCAUUGUGUCACUUGUGCACAUCAAAAAAGCAGUUUCUCAUUUCUUUGAACAAGUUGCAAAUGCUUUGGUACAUCCACGCAAAUGAUUAUGUACAAUUCUCUGCUGUUUCCUACAUUAUCAGCUCCUUAUGUCAUGUUGAUCUAAAUGUAUUCUAAUGGGUCUCUGUUGAAUAGUCUCACCCUCCACAACAUUUAGGCAUUAGUUCAUCGCAUAAAUCUUUACAUUCAAAAUGGUUGAACAAGUUGUCAGAAUAUGUCAAGGAUAUUUCUAUACAUUUCCAUUAGACUUUUUUUCUAAAUCCGUCCUGAAUUGGUAAAUUGCUCCCAGGUGAAUUUUGACUUUCUCUAACGAAGGGAAAUGUGUGAAGGGUUAGGGUUGUCUGAAAUCAUUCAAAGACAAAAGAGAAGAUAUUUCAUGAUGUGGAUGAGAAUUUGUGUCCAACAGACAGGAACAUCAGGAGGUGUAGAAAGACUGCACUGGAAUUCCUACAGCACUGCAUGUACAGUUUUCCCUGAGGAGAUUGUCCUCUGUUCACAUUUCCACUUUUGUUUUUUUGUUUUUUCUUUGUACUAUGCAGUGCUGUUUUCCUUUCUGUAUCGCAACGAUGUGGUCUGUCAAUAAAUUACAACACAAACAGUAAAAGCGUAAAUGUGAA